RNAcentral lists this ribosomal RNA (238 nucleotides) under Geraeocormobius spinifrons. Its description in RNAcentral is "partial small subunit ribosomal RNA". Lineage: Eukaryota; Metazoa; Arthropoda; Arachnida; Opiliones; Gonyleptidae. The record is from RNAcentral.
CCCUUGUAUAUUAGUAUUGGAAUUUAAUAAUUUUUGGCGGUUAACUAUUAAUUAGAGGAGCUUGUAUAGAUUUAGCUCUUUAUAUUUAAUUAAUAAAUUUAUUCAUCUCCGUUAUUAAUAUUAUAUUUCAGGUCAAGAUGUAGUAUUUAUUAGGAUAUUAGCUACAAUUAUAUAAUAAUAAAUUGAAUUUAAUUGUAAUUGUAUUUAAAAUAAUAUGAUGAAUGGGAUUGGUUAAUGU